GUCUAUGGCCAUACCACCCUGAACACGCCCGAUCUCAUCUGAUUUCGGAAGCUAAGCAGGGUCGGGCCUGGUUAGUACUUGGAUGGGAGACCAAAGAUUUUGGUGCAUGUGUCCUAUAGAUA
This is a ribosomal RNA of Mesocricetus auratus (golden hamster), 122 nucleotides long. The record is from Ensembl. NCBI's taxonomy places the organism in Eukaryota, Metazoa, Chordata, Mammalia, Rodentia, Cricetidae.